Molecule: non-coding RNA, 424 nt
Organism: Malurus melanocephalus (red-backed fairy wren)
Lineage: Eukaryota; Metazoa; Chordata; Aves; Passeriformes; Maluridae
Source: the annotation of a RefSeq genome assembly
CUCCACCUUUCCUCUUUACACAUCUCCGUGUCUGUGCUGUCACCAGGGGCAGGUUGCUGGAGGGAYGUGGCCUUUCCCUAUGGAUUUCCAUCGGUUCCUGGUGGCCAUCCUGGUCCCUGUGGGCUGGGCCAUACAGCAAUCACCAGACACAGUCGUACAGGUGGGAGAUCCUGUGACCCUGGAAUGUUCUCKAUCGGGGAGUGCACCCAGGUCCAUGUCCUGGUACAAAUUACCCAUGGAGGAGGGUGCCAGUAUGCAGUUGAUUAUAUAUGCAGCUGAAGGCAGCAAAGGAGAUAUUGAGAAGGAAUUCAAAAACCACUUCCAGAGCAAUGGGACUAAGAACAACCGUUUAUCUGUGAAGAUAGAUCAUGCCCUCCUCAAUGACUCUGGCACRUAUUUCUGUGCUGAACAAGAUCCACAGUGA